Molecule: ribosomal RNA, 497 nt
Filed under: uncultured bacterium
Lineage: Bacteria
Description: partial 16S ribosomal RNA
Rfam family: Bacterial small subunit ribosomal RNA
Source: RNAcentral
GAUGAACGCUGGCGGCGUGCCUAAUACAUGCAAGUCGAGCGAACGGACGAGAAGCUUGCUUCUCUGAUGUUAGCGGCGGACGGGUGAGUAACACGUGGAUAACCUACCUAUAAGACUGGGAUAACUUCGGGAAACCGGAGCUAAUACCGGAUAAUAUUUUGAACCGCAUGGUUCAAAAGUGAAAGACGGUCUUGCUGUCACUUAUAGAUGGAUCCGCGCUGCAUUAGCUAGUUGGUAAGUUAACGGCUUACCAAGGCAACGAUGCAUAGCCGACGUGAGAGGGUGAUCGGCCACACGGGAGGUGAGACAGGGACCAGACUCCUACGGGAGGCAGCAGUAGGGAAUCUUCCGCAAUGGGCGAAAGCCUGACGGAGCAACGCCGCGUGAGUGAUGAAGGUCUUCGGAUCGUAAAACUCUGUUAUUAGGGAAGAACAUAUGUGUAAGUAACUGUGCACAUCUUGACGGUACCUAAUCAGAAAGCCACGGCUAACUACGUG